This 465-nucleotide ribosomal RNA is filed under the name Vreelandella stevensii. RNAcentral describes it as "partial 16S ribosomal RNA". It matches the Rfam family "Bacterial small subunit ribosomal RNA", at positions 338 to 795 of the family's 1533-position model. Lineage: Bacteria; Pseudomonadati; Pseudomonadota; Gammaproteobacteria; Oceanospirillales; Halomonadaceae. The record is from RNAcentral.
CCUACGGGUGGCAGCAGUGGGGAAUAUUGGACAAUGGGCGAAAGCCUGAUCCAGCCAUGCCGCGUGUGUGAAGAAGGCCUUCGGGUUGUAAAGCACUUUCAGUGGGGAAGAAAGCCUUGGGGCUAAUACCCUCGAGGAAGGACAUCACCCACAGAAGAAGCACCGGCUAACUCCGUGCCAGCAGCCGCGGUAAUACGGAGGGUGCGAGCGUUAAUCGGAAUUACUGGGCGUAAAGCGCGCGUAGGCGGUCUGAUAAGCCGGUUGUGAAAGCCCCGGGCUCAACCUGGGAACGGCAUCCGGAACUGUCAGGCUAGAGUGCAGGAGAGGAAGGUAGAAUUCCCGGUGUAGCGGUGAAAUGCGUAGAGAUCGGGAGGAAUACCAGUGGCGAAGGCGGCCUUCUGGACUGACACUGACGCUGAGGUGCGAAAGCGUGGGUAGCAAACAGGAUUUGAUACCCGGGUAGUC